GACGAACGCUGGCGGCGUGCCUAAUACAUGCAAGUAGAACGCUGAAGGAGGAGCUUGCUUCUCUGGAUGAGUUGCGAACGGGUGAGUAACGCGUAGGUAACCUGCCUGGUAGCGGGGGAUAACUAUUGGAAACGAUAGCUAAUACCGCAUAAUAUUGACUAUUGCAUGAUAGUCAGUUGAAAGGUGCAACUGCACCACUACCAGAUGGACCUGCGUUGUAUUAGCUCGUUGGUGGGGUAACGGCUCACCAAGGCGACGAUACAUAGCCGACCUGAGAGGGUGAUCGGCCACACUGGGACUGAGACACGGCCCAGACUCCUACGGGAGGCAGCAGUAGGGAAUCUUCGGCAAUGGACGGAAGUCUGACCGAGCAACGCCGCGUGAGUGAAGAAGGUUUUCGGAUCGUAAAGCUCUGUUGUAAGAGAAGAACGAGUGUGAGAGUGGAAAGCUCACACUGUGACGGUAUCUUACCAGAAAGGGACGGCUAACUACGUG
RNAcentral lists this ribosomal RNA (495 nucleotides) under uncultured bacterium. RNAcentral describes it as "partial 16S ribosomal RNA". It matches the Rfam family "Bacterial small subunit ribosomal RNA", at positions 28 to 507 of the family's 1533-position model. The record is from RNAcentral.